This 2499-nucleotide long non-coding RNA is filed under the name Daucus carota (carrot). Its description in RNAcentral is "long non-coding RNA (DCAR_LNC002532)". Lineage: Eukaryota; Viridiplantae; Streptophyta; Magnoliopsida; Apiales; Apiaceae. The record is from RNAcentral.
CUCCCAGGUGAAGUCUGGGUCAUCCCUUCCGAAAUGCCCAUAGGCCGCGGUCUUCAAGAACCUACCAUUGCCUCCUCUUUUCAGAUCAAGAUUGAUGGAGAUCAUUCCGGGCCUGAAGUCGAAGGUUUCCUUUACGAUCUUUAGGAUUUCCCUGUCGGGGAUUUUUCCAGUUCCAUAGGUGUCGACGAAGACUGACAGAGGCUCUGGAACACCAAUAGCAUAAGAUACCUGCACAAUGCACCUACGAGCAAGUCCAUUGGCUACAAUGCUCUUGGCAGCUUGCCUGACAAUAUAUGCACCACUUCUGUCCACCUUUGUGGGGUCCUUUCCGGAGAAAGCACCACCACCGUGAGCUCCCCAGCCACCAUAAGUGUCGAUAAUGAUCUUGCGACCUGUUAGACCAGCAUCACCAUGGGGGCCUCCAAUUACAAAGCGGCCUGAAGGGUUGAGGUGAAAGAUGGUCUUCUCAUCAAGAUACUUCUCUGGGAUGACGGGCUUGAUUACAUGCUCUUUGAGGUCAGCAGCAAUCUCAUCGUUGGUAACAGUCUCGUCGUGCUGGGUGGAAAUGAGGACAGUGUGAACACGGGUUGGAACCAUGGCACCAUUCUCAUUUAGGUACUCAACAGUGACCUGGGUCUUGCCAUCAGGUCUCAACCACGCGCAUGUACCAUUCUUGCGGACAUCAGUAAGGCGAGCGCCAAGUUUGGUUGCAAGAACAUGGCUCAGAGGCAUAAGCUCAGGGGUCUCGUCAGUGGCAUAGCCAAACAUAUGGCCCUGGUCACCUGCGCCAAUAUCCUCCGGGCGCUUAGUAAGAUGACCAUGGACACCCUGGGCAAUAUCAGGGCUCUGUUGCUCAAUGUUAACAAGAACCUUGCAGUUGUCAGCAUCAAGACCAACAUCAGCAGAAACAAAUCCAAUGUUACGGCAUGUCUCGCGAACAAUCUUCUCGUAGUCCACAUCAGCCUUGGUAGUAAUCUCCCCAAAAACCAUGACCAUGUUGGUCUUGGUGCAUGUCUCACAUGCAACCUUGCUGUCGGGAUCUUGAGCUAGGCAGGCAUCCAGCACCGCGUCAGAGAUCUGAUCACAGAGCUUGUCUGGGUGACCCUCGUUAACAGACUCGGAGGUAAAUAGGAAGGUCUCUAAUGCCAUUCUGUAAAGCUGCAACAAGAGAAAACCAUAAAUUAGAUACUUAUUUCUGACACGCAGGGGAAAUUAACUUCCAAUUAGGAAGCUUCCUUAGUGUUACAGAUUCUGGAAAAUAACGAAUAUAAAAAGUAUCAUCCUAGUGUAAGAUGCUUUUAACUUUCACUUCUGGUCUGAUCAUGAAGAAUCUGCAUAUUAUUGUCUGCUUGCUUUUGCAAAAGAUAUAUUCCCAGCCAUAAAAAAAGGAUCCACAAUACACAGGACAAGAAUACAACUGCCUGCCACACACAAAAGUCGCAAUAUUCUUUUCUUCAGAAGUAUAUUGCCGUUCCAAAAUAUAUAUCUUAUCUGACUAGCACUGAACUAGUCACUACCAGCAGUGAACUGAAUGAAACUUCAAAAUUAAAUUAGAUACCCUUCCCUCCCUGAAUAUGCACAAACAUAACUAAUUUUACAUUGUCAGGGUCAACAUUAAAAAAAAAUUGCCAAAAAAUUGUUAAUUAAUAAUACAAGUGACAAGUCAAUUGUCAAUAUAACAGAUCAUCGAUAGCCUAGCGUCGAGCCCUCCCCCUACUCAAGAUCCAACAUCAUAAAUUCAAAUCUUCAUAAAACUCGCAAUUCCUUUCUUCAAAAGUAUAUCACAGUCAUAAAAAUUAAAUUUCUCCCCUAACUACAAACUAAUUACACAUUUAAAUCAGUUAAAACAUCAUUUUGCAUUUACAAAAACUUCCGAAGAAACCAUAAGCCUAUAUACAAGACUACUUGAUGGUAGCAUUGUGUUCGCCCUAGCCAACCAAGGUCAAAGGUUCGAAUCCUCGCUUAUUCUCCAUAUUCUUAAAAUUUUACACAUUUGAAAUUUUUUAAAAUAUACCUACACACCAAAUACAGUAACUAGCUCUACAAGCUAUUCAGAUAAGUUAUCUGUGUCAGAAACUAGACAUGAACUAAAAGAACACAAGUAUAGCCUAAUAGGACAGAAAGCUAAACAACUGAAGCAGUUACUUUUAGUUUUCACUUCCAAUUCAAGUACAAACACACAUGCUUACAACAGAUCCAGAUAUACACACACUUUCCAAAUCCAGAAACUUGUAGAUCUAGACUUGCCAUAUUCAAGAACCACACCCAAGUCAACAUAACCACUAGAUCUACAACACUAAAAGUCAAACAUGCUCAAACAUUUAAAUUAAUAUUAUAUUUCUUACAUGUAAAUAUAGCAAAGGCAAGUGAAGUUCUAGUUGUAGCAACUUCACAGUAGUAAAGAUAGUAGCAUUACCCAAGAGAGAUUUGUAAUAUUCUCGCUCAACUCGAGAUUUGUCGAAAACAUGUUGCAUGAUAUAUGAAUUUAGUUAUUCGGAA